CACACACUGUGUGUUAUGCACCUCUUUCUCUCUCACUGACUUGAUAUUUACUGCGCACCUUAAAAGCCCUUCAUGGUUUCAUGUUAGACGUGUCACCGUGGUAUUCCAUGUAUGCAGCUUCACUGAGCCGGUGCCGUUUGAAUAACACACUUCAGGCCGUUCUUGUAAAACAUUAUUAUAUGCACAAACCUUGAAUCCACCAGAUAAUCAAGUGAUAACAGCUGUUUGUACUUUGUGUAAAGAACUCCCACAGCUCCCACAGACCUGCAUGGUCUCUGUGUCCUCCUUGGCGUAGUGGGACUCGGCCGUGGUGGCGUAGGGGAAGGCGUCCGCGGUGAUCAUGGUGACCUGGGUGGGUUCAAGGCCGUAGGGGUCGUAUUCCCUCUCCCCGGACCUCGCGUCCUCGUCGUAGCUGUGAGUCGGCUCCGGUGGAUACUCUGAUGGCACAGAGGAGACUGUUAAACGCACAAUGAGUAAUGUUCUGCCACGAGGAGUCUUAUCCACAGUCUCUCCGCAUGAGGGGAUACAACGGCAUUAUGGACCUCUCCCUUUGCUGGUCACAUGUCAUCAGGUCACAGCAGACAGUGACUCACCUGGCUGAGGAGAGACGAUGUUGUCGUAGCUUUCGACCACAGAGCCUUCAUAGACCUGAGUGGUGUCCAGAAUAUUCCUCCUGGCAGAGAGACGAGACGACACACAUGAAGACGAGCAGCGCCGAGAGGAGAGACGCCUGCAGGGAAACACCUUCAUCAAAUAUCUGAAAACAAUCUGUGUGAAGACAACACGGCAGGAGUUACCCCCCCCCCCCCCCCACAGUAACACAAUGGAGAUGAAGUUAAGUCCUGACUAACUCCACAAUGAUGUCAUCGUGUUCAGCUGAUGAUCUAAGAGUUAGAGUUAGUUUCUUCUUUACUUUAAUGUAUUUAUAUAUAUGUAUAUCUUUUGAUUUAUUAUGAUGUAUAUAUAUUUGUAUUCUGUGUUCGUCACUAUAUACUCUUAUUGUUCUUAUUUAGUUGGAGAAUGUAAAAUAUGACUGGAACAUCGCACUUGAUAAAAGAAAAACAUAAAAACUAAAUAAAAUAAAAGCUUAUGG
This is a long non-coding RNA of Cottoperca gobio, 1093 nucleotides long. RefSeq lists it as uncharacterized. Lineage: Eukaryota; Metazoa; Chordata; Actinopteri; Perciformes; Bovichtidae. The record is from RefSeq and is a predicted model, not a curated record. The transcript is spliced from 3 exons.